This 696-nucleotide long non-coding RNA is filed under the name Homo sapiens (human). RNAcentral describes it as "non-protein coding lnc-CACNB4-1:1". Lineage: Eukaryota; Metazoa; Chordata; Mammalia; Primates; Hominidae. The record is from RNAcentral.
GCCCGAGAGGAGCUGGGGGAGGACGGUGGCCCGCGAGGCUCGUCGCAGACAACGCGGCGGCGAUGUCCGCGAGCCAGGCGAGUGCCGCGGCGGCAGCGGCGGGGCCUUGCGCGCGGCAGGGCGGCCUGGGCUUCGGCCUCCCUCCGGUUCCCUGGAAGCGGGCCCGCGACCAGCGCGGGAGCAGCAGCAGAGGCGGAGGCUCCAGCGCGUCUCUCUCCUCCCCCUCAGCCUGAGCCGGGGGAAGCCAGGCGGCCCGGGUGUCUGGAGGGGGGGGGUCCGCUGCCCGAGAAUGGGAAUUCUCUUCACUAGAAUAUGGAGACUGUUCAAUCACCAGGGUCCGACGUCCCUGAGUAGCACGGCCUGGCCUGUCUUUCAGCCCUUUCUUUGCUCACCAGUUGUGUUUGGACACCACAUAGAAGUGCUGGGGUCUUCUGGAAUGAAGGUUAUAGAUUGCUGCCCUAACCGCACCACUGAGCGACCGAGGGUUGCAGAAUGCGGAAAACGGGAGGAAUCGCUCGACUUGUCCAUUACACCUCUGGUUUAUGAGCCUGCCCUCCACUGCCACCCGUCUUUGUGUGUGUUGGGGGCAGGGGGGGUUCUUCUGCCUCCUGAAUAGAGAUGGACUUCUCUCCAUUUGUUUUACUUAUUAUAUCUGUGUUUAAGGUUAAGCUUAAGGUCAUUUUUCUACUCGUGUGG